This 434-nucleotide unclassified non-coding RNA is filed under the name soil metagenome. RNAcentral describes it as "partial contains 5.8S ribosomal RNA, internal transcribed spacer 2, and large subunit ribosomal RNA". The stretch from base 1 to 120 matches the Rfam family "5.8S ribosomal RNA", at positions 35 to 154 of the family's 154-position model. The record is from RNAcentral.
GAUGAAGAACGCAGCGAAAUGCGAUACGUAAUGUGAAUUGCAGAAUUCAGUGAAUCAUCGAAUCUUUGAACGCAUAUUGCGCUCUCUGGUAUUCCGGAGAGCAUGCUUGUUUGAGUAUCAGUAAACACCUCAACUUCCAUAUCUUUUUUGAAAUGGGAGUUGGACUUGAGUGAUCCCAACGCUUUUCCUCACCGAAAAGUGGCGGGUUACUUGAAAUGCAGGUGCAGCUGGACUUUUCUCUGAGCUAUAAGCAUAUCUAUUUAGUCUGCCUAAAAAACAGAUUAUUACCUUUGCUGCAGCUAACAUAAAGGAGAUGAGUUCUUGUGCUGACUGAUGCAGGAUUCACAGAGACAGCUUUGCGGCUGACUUUGUAAACUCGAUCUCAAAUCAAGUAAGACUACCCGCUGAACUUAAGCAUAUCAAUAAGCGGAGGA